AUCGAAUCUUUGAACGCACAUUGCGCCCCUUGGUAUUCCAUGGGGCAUGCCUGUUCGAGCGUCAUUUGUACUCUCAAGCUAACUUUCUUGGUGUUGGGUGUUUCGUCCACUCCCUCGUGUUUGGACUCGCCUUAAAACAAUUGGCAGCCAG
RNAcentral lists this ribosomal RNA (151 nucleotides) under Phaeosphaeria sp. ICMP10613. Its description in RNAcentral is "5.8S ribosomal RNA". The stretch from base 1 to 64 matches the Rfam family "5.8S ribosomal RNA", at positions 91 to 154 of the family's 154-position model. The record is from RNAcentral. Lineage: Eukaryota; Fungi; Ascomycota; Dothideomycetes; Pleosporales; Phaeosphaeriaceae.